AUGGGUGGCGUCGGGCGGCGGGGGCUGGGGCGGCGGCGGGUGCGGGGGUGGCGGCUGCUGCGGCGGUGGCUGCUGCUGUUGCUGGUGCUGUUGCUGGUGCGGAGGCGGUGGCGGGAUCUGAGGCUUGGGGCCACCCUGGCCCGGCACGGGCCCCAUGGGUCCGCGAUUCUGAUUGAGGCCCAUGCCGGGCGGCGGGGAGCGGAAGUCGGGGGCCGCGUCCCGGGGCCCGGGAGAGGAAUGGGCCAAGCGUAG
Molecule: long non-coding RNA, 252 nt
Filed under: Ovis aries (sheep)
Lineage: Eukaryota; Metazoa; Chordata; Mammalia; Artiodactyla; Bovidae
Description: lncRNA (ENSOARG00000025508.1)
Source: RNAcentral